GACGAACGCUGGCGGCGUGCUUAACACAUGCAAGUCGAACGGAAAGGCCCUGCUUUUGUGGGGUGCUCGAGUGGCGAACGGGUGAGUAACACGUGAGUAACCUGCCCUUGACUUUGGGAUAACUUCAGGAAACUGGGGCUAAUACCGGAUAGGAGCUCCUGCUGCAUGGUGGGGGUUGGAAAGUUUCGGCGGUUGGGGAUGGACUCGCGGCUUAUCAGCUUGUUGGUGGGGUAGUGGCUUACCAAGGCUUUGACGGGUAGCCGGCCUGAGAGGGUGACCGGCCACAUUGGGACUGAGAUACGGCCCAGACUCCUACGGGAGGCAGCAGUGGGGAAUAUUGCACAAUGGGCGGAAGCCUGAUGCAGCAACGCCGCGUGCGGGAUGACGGCCUUCGGGUUGUAAACCGCUUUCGCCUGUGACGAAGCGUGAGUGACGGUAGUGAGUAAAGAAGCACCGGCUAACUACGUG
Molecule: ribosomal RNA, 468 nt
Filed under: uncultured bacterium
Lineage: Bacteria
Description: partial 16S ribosomal RNA
Rfam family: Bacterial small subunit ribosomal RNA
Source: RNAcentral